Molecule: transfer RNA, 73 nt
Filed under: Camelus bactrianus (Bactrian camel)
Lineage: Eukaryota; Metazoa; Chordata; Mammalia; Artiodactyla; Camelidae
Also listed under: 3 other names
Rfam family: tRNA
About the family: Transfer RNA (tRNA) molecules are approximately 80 nucleotides in length. Their secondary structure includes four short double-helical elements and three loops (D, anti-codon, and T loops).
Source: Rfam by way of RNAcentral
GAAGGUAUAGCUCAGGUGGUAGAGCACAUGCUUAGCAUGCAUAAGGUCCUGGGUUCAAACCCCAGUACCUCUU